This 480-nucleotide ribosomal RNA is filed under the name uncultured bacterium. RNAcentral describes it as "bacterial SSU rRNA". It matches the Rfam family "Bacterial small subunit ribosomal RNA", at positions 28 to 507 of the family's 1533-position model. The record is from RNAcentral.
GAUGAACGCUGGCGGCGUGCCUAACACAUGCAAGUCGAACGAAGCUCUUACGACGGAACUCUUCGGAGGGAAGAUGUUUGAGACUUAGUGGCGGACGGGUGAGUAACGCGUGGGUAACCUGCCCUGUACAGGGGGACAACAGUUAGAAAUAGGUGCUAAUACCGCAUAAGCGCACAGUAUCGCAUGAUACAGUGUGAAAAACUCCGGUGGUAUAAGAUGGACCCGCGUCUGAUUAGCUAGUUGGUGAGGUAACGGCUCACCAAGGCGACGAUCAGUAGCCGGCCUGAGAGGGUGAACGGCCACAUUGGGACUGAGACACGGCCCAAACUCCUAACGGGAGGCAGCAGUGGGGAAUAUUGCACAAUGGGGGAAACCCUGAUGCAGCGACGCCGCGUGAGUGAAGAAGUAUUUCGGUAUGUAAAGCUCUAUCAGCAAGGAAGAAAUGACGGUACUUGACUAAGAAGCCCCGCUAACUACGUG